CAUGUGUCGGUGGGGUCCCUCGGCCUGGCCUGUGGCCUUUCACAAUCUGGGACCCCUCAGGGGAUGUCAGAGAGCUGAUUUUAGCCGAUCCCUGCAGGCCAGGCAGAGGGACCCCACUGGUGCAUG
This 126-nucleotide microRNA precursor is filed under the name Myotis brandtii (Brandt's bat). RNAcentral describes it as "mir-9193 microRNA precursor family". It matches the Rfam family "mir-9193 microRNA precursor family". The record is from Rfam by way of RNAcentral. Lineage: Eukaryota; Metazoa; Chordata; Mammalia; Chiroptera; Vespertilionidae.